This is a non-coding RNA of Paramisgurnus dabryanus, 320 nucleotides long. The record is from RefSeq and is a predicted model, not a curated record. Lineage: Eukaryota; Metazoa; Chordata; Actinopteri; Cypriniformes; Cobitidae.
CUUCACUUUAACAGGGAGUCUCAUCUCUGAAGAACAGCAUUCUGGAUAUGAAGAUGCUGAUGAACCUUUGUCAGAAUCCAUAACUGAAUAUGAUAAUGAUGUCCCCACCUGCAGUGACAUAAAAGCAGAACAGAAAUUCACACCAGGAUACUAUAAUGAUGUCAUCACUGAUGGACUGUCAGCAGAUUGUCAGACAGCAGACGUGCCAGAGAAUUAUGAUGAUGUCAUCAUUAUCAGACAGAACAUUCAAGGUAUAAAUGAGGACGUGCCAGAGAAUUAUGAUGAUGUCAUCCCUAUUAGAAAGAACAUUGGAGGUAUAA